UACGGAGGGUGCAAGCGUUAUCCGGAUUCACUGGGUUUAAAGGGUGCGUAGGUGGGAAUGUAAGUCAGUGGUGAAAUCUCCGUGCUUAACAUGGAAACUGCCAUUGAUACUAUGUUUCUUGAAUUUUCUGGAGGUCAGCGGAAUAUGUCAUGUAGCGGUGAAAUGCUUAGAUAUGACAUAGAACACCAAUUGCGAAGGCAGCUGACUACAGGGACAUUGACACUGAUGCACGAAAGCGUGGGGAUCAAACAGG
RNAcentral lists this ribosomal RNA (253 nucleotides) under uncultured bacterium. RNAcentral's name for it is "partial 16S ribosomal RNA". It matches the Rfam family "Bacterial small subunit ribosomal RNA", at positions 524 to 776 of the family's 1533-position model. The record is from RNAcentral.